AAUCAACGCUGGCGGCGUGCCUCAGACAUGCAAGUCGAACGAUUAAACUUUCCUUCGGGGAAGAUAUAGAGUGGCGCACGGGUGAGUAACACGUAAGUAAUCUACCCUUGGGUGGGGAAUAACAUCGGGAAACCGAUGCUAAUACCGCAUAAUGCAGCGGCUUCUUAUGAAGACAGUUGUUAAAGCAUUUAUGUGCCUGAGGAGGAGCUUGCGGCAGAUUAGCAGUUGGUAAGGUAAUGGCUUACCAAGGCGACGAUCUGUAGCCGACCUGAGAGGGUGGUCGGUCACACUGACACUGAAUAACGGGUCAGACUCCUACGGGAGGCAGCAGUCGGGAAUUUUGGGCAAUGGGCGCAAGCCUGACCCAGCAACGCCGCGUGAAGGAUGAAGUAUUUCGGUAUGUAAACUUCGUAAAAAUAAGGAAGAAUAAAUGACGGUACUAUUUGU
RNAcentral lists this ribosomal RNA (447 nucleotides) under uncultured bacterium. RNAcentral describes it as "bacterial SSU rRNA". It matches the Rfam family "Bacterial small subunit ribosomal RNA", at positions 32 to 485 of the family's 1533-position model. The record is from RNAcentral.